RNAcentral lists this transfer-messenger RNA (419 nucleotides) under Anaerolineae. RNAcentral describes it as "4572-78 sp002084875 Standard tmRNA". It matches the Rfam family "transfer-messenger RNA". Rfam says of the family: Bacterial tmRNA, also known as 10Sa RNA or SsrA, is named for its dual tRNA and mRNA-like properties. Its role is to liberate the mRNA from a stalled ribosome. Lineage: Bacteria; Bacillati; Chloroflexota. RNAcentral also lists the same sequence under 1 other name. The record is from RNAcentral.
GGGGAUGAAACGGCUUCGACAGGCAUGUGGAGGAUAUAGACUGCGGGUCGAGUUGAGAUAACUCGCUAAACCAUCUCAAAAAAACACAAACGCCGAGAAAGUUCCAGCUUUCAACGUUAGCUCUUACCAUGCUAUGCCUCUUGCGGCAUAAUUAUUAAGAGCAAAACUGACCUAAAGAACUUAGGUCACGGGUAAGGUUCUCUUACCUCAAGAGAGUGCUUUAUCUGUCAUACAAAUUGGGGUGCGUUGUGGUAAUACUGAUAACACACAACAAAGAGGGCGAAAGCCUUUUAUUGGUUAGGUUUAGGCGGACUCCGUUGGUUGAUGAACCCUGGACGACAAAACUGAAGCCAACUACACUCGUAGACGUUUAUAGCCAGCAUGGUUGGACUCGGGUUCAACUCCCGACAUCUCCACUA